This 502-nucleotide ribosomal RNA is filed under the name uncultured bacterium. RNAcentral describes it as "bacterial SSU rRNA". It matches the Rfam family "Bacterial small subunit ribosomal RNA", at positions 15 to 507 of the family's 1533-position model. The record is from RNAcentral.
GAUCCUGGCUCAGAGUGAACGCUGGCGGCAGGCCUAAUACAUGCAAGUCGAACGGCAGCACAGUGGAGCUUGCUCCAUGGGUGGCGAGUGGCGGACGGGUGAGGAAUACAUGGGAAUCUGCCCAGUCGUGGGGAUAACGUAUGGAAACGUACGCUAAUACCGCAUGCGUCCUUCGGGGGAAAGUCGGGGACCGCAAGGCCUGACGCGAUUGGAUGAGCCCAUGUUCGAUUAGCUAGUUGGCGGGGUAACGGCCCACCAAGGCGACGAUCGAUGGCUGGUCUGAGAGGAUGAUCAGCCACACUGGAACUGAGACACGGUCCAGACUCCUACGGGAGGCAGCAGUAGGGAAUAUUGGACAAUGGGCGCAAGCCUGAUCCAGCCAUGCCGCGUGAGUGAAGAAGGCCCUCGGGUUGUAAAGCUCUUUUGUUGGGGAAGAAAAGCAGUUGGUUAAUACCCGAUUGUUCUGACGGUACCCAAAGAAUAAGCACCGGCUAACUUCGUG